CAAAAGAUUUAACAUUUAAAAUUAUUUAUUUAAUAAAUUAAUUUAAAUUUUAACAAAAGUAAAAAUACUUUUAUUUAAUAAAAAGACGACAAGACCCUAUUGAACUUUACUAAAGUUUUAACUGGGGAAGUAAAUUAAUUAUUAUUUUAAUAUAUUACAAUACUAAUAUAUCAUAUAUUAUAUAUAAUUCAGUUACCAUAGGGAUAACAGCGCAAUUAUAUUUAAGAAUAUUUAUCUUCUAAAAUAUAGAUUACGACCUCGAUGUUGAAUUAAUAUCCUAUUUUAAGUAAAUCUUAAAUAAGGAAGUCUGUUCGACCUUUAAAAAAUUACAUGAUUUGAGUUCAGACCGGUAUAAGCCAGGUCGGUUUCUAUCUUUUAUAAAUUUAAUUGUAGUACGAAAGGACCUAAUUAAUUAAUUUAAUUAAUCAAAUUGGCAGAUUAAUGCAUUAGAAUUAGAAUCUAAUUAAAAUAUA
This 473-nucleotide ribosomal RNA is filed under the name cf. Jotus sp. Queensland. Its description in RNAcentral is "partial 16S ribosomal RNA". The stretch from base 78 to 379 matches the Rfam family "Bacterial large subunit ribosomal RNA", at positions 2072 to 2648 of the family's 2925-position model. The record is from RNAcentral. Lineage: Eukaryota; Metazoa; Arthropoda; Arachnida; Araneae; Salticidae.